GCAGGUUUAAACGAAUUCGCCCUUAGCCCGAUAUUGAUGCCGCGCGCGACGAUCCAGAGGUUGAUGUGAGGCGCCAUGUCCUCAUGCGCCUCGUCGGCGCGGCCGAGCCAGUCGCCGCCCGCGUUGGCGGGUUCGUGCAGCGGGCCGGUGCCGAGCUUGCGGCGGGCCUUCACCGGACCCGGCUUGACGGUGUCGAAGCCCCAUUCGCCGGUUCCGAAAUCGGUGAUGACCCGGCCCCAGCCGCGGAAGCCGUCCUCGACGUCGCCCUCGGACUCGGGGUGCGCGUAGACGCCGGAACAUUGGCCUGCCACGCCUCGAUC
This 320-nucleotide ribosomal RNA is filed under the name marine bacterium SIMO-IS137. RNAcentral's name for it is "partial 16S ribosomal RNA". The record is from RNAcentral. Lineage: Bacteria; Pseudomonadati; Pseudomonadota; Alphaproteobacteria; Rhodobacterales; Paracoccaceae.